This 224-nucleotide unclassified non-coding RNA is filed under the name plant metagenome. RNAcentral's name for it is "partial contains small subunit ribosomal RNA, internal transcribed spacer 1, and 5.8S ribosomal RNA". The record is from RNAcentral.
UCUCCGUUGGUGAACCAGCGGAGGGAUCAUUACAGGACUCGCAAGACUCCUUCACCCUGUGAACCUCACUACAAGCACGUUGCUUCGGCGGGUGUCCCGGCGGGGGUUUUCCCUCGCCGGGGCGCACAGCCCGCCGGCAGCCUACUAUACUCUGUCUCUUUGCGUUGGCAUCUCGAGAAAAAACAAACAAGUUAAAACUUUCAACAACGGAUCUCUUGGUUCAG